GAAGAUAAACAGAUCCCCUUUCUCUGCUCUAUCAUUAUAGUCCCUCAAGCUGGCUGUACCAAAUCGAAUGGCAUGCUCCUACAUCACCAAAGCUGCGAAGGAGAUGCUCUUGGAGGUCAAGUCUGGCGGAAAUGCGGAUGUGCAUUCAAGCCGCAGAUCUUGCGUCGCCUACCAGCAAGGCCGCAUCUCACUAUUUCUGCUUUGUAGAGGCAUAUCGGUCGCCGGGUAGGCCACCGGAGAUUAUGAGGGGUAUUGCUUGCUGUUAGGUUCUCCGACAGUGUUCUACUCUCCUGUUCGUGGCUCUGGGACAGAGAGCUGUGUCGUUGGGUUGAACGACCAUCUUCUCCAUAGCAUUCCACGUCUGAGGCGGAGCAGCAAGGACAGAGUCUGUAGGCAAAGGCAGGUUUUGGGCUUCCUCAUUGCUGGUGCCAUCGCCUUUCACCCAUUAAUUUGCUACAACUUUGCAUCAUUUCUACUUCGUCGAGAGUGGCUUAUUCUUGACAUGUAUAUUGUAGGUAGCUCAAAGUUCACAAUCCUGAAAAAACAACCUCAAAACUCAAAGUUAGCAAUCUGAAGAAGUUGAGAGACGUAAGUAAAUCAAGUAUGGUCCAUUCUAGCUGAUAUGACUCCAUUAACACUCCAGGUUUUGGAGUCUUGUUUUCCUCGGAAGUGGUCAUAUCAUAUCUUAGAAGUUUGUUACAGUACCUGAUUUGUCUGAUUUUUGUGCCUCAUUCUAGUAAUUUCUUAUAAUGUUCUUUUGUAAAACAUUUUCUUCUUCUAGUGUUCCUUUCAUAUUUCUAUCUAUCUUGAUCAUUUUUGUUAAGUUUCUUCUGCACACAUAUGAAGUUAGUCAAGUAUAGUAAUAUUAGUUAACAAACAGAGUCACUAUUCAUUAGUUGAUAACUAAUAACUGAUAAAAGAUACAGUUCCAUACCUGCCAAGAAGUUCCUCGGCUUCGAUUAUAUCUACCCUAUAUAAUUCUUGUGGAAUUGGUAAUCAAUGGUAAAUGUCUUAGUUAUUUUCCCUGUAAAUAACAAACUAUAUUGUAACAUUACUGGAUUGAACUUCUGCACCAUCAAGGUCACAAUAGGGACAGUUUAGCUGCAGAUUAAAUCACCAUUCGAAAAAUAAGGAAACUUUAUCCAUAACGUAACUCCUAUUUUUAUCACCCCUAAAGAGUUCUUUUUUUUAUUAUUGACUCCACAUGCUUCAUUUGGGUGUUAAUCCAAUCACAAUAAAUUUGGAGAUUAAUCGCUUCACUGUUAGAAAGAUUAAUUAGAUAAGAGUCUUAAUUCAAACCACAGAGUAUAGAGUAUAGACAUACCUGAGCAUUGUUUAUUUUAUCUACUUGUUUUUGUACUUAAUCCAUACCACUGAUUAUAAUUAUAAUUUAACCUCUACAGAUUGUAGCAUGGAUUUUUAAAUGUUGAUAGUAGCAUGAACUCGGUUGGGCCCUGUCAAAACAAUAAAAUAUAAUUAGGGAUUGGUGUCCAAAACAAUAGAGAAAUCUGUAAUAUGUAAUGCAUUUUUUGGUCCAUCAAAAUUAUAUUGAGGCUAAUAAGCUCAUCAGCAAUUGUCGCUAAGUCAUUAAGCUUCUUGUAUGCCAUAUUUUUUGGGGUUUAAUAGGAGUUGAAAACAACUGAUAGAGUACCUAUGUAAAUUUUAUGCUGAUAAGUGAAUUUAGUAAUAGUAGUACUUACUAACCUUGAUGAUUCAGGUUAGAGACAACUCAGAAGGUUGGGCCUGACUUUGUCGGCACUCGAGCUGAACCCGGCGUUGAAGUUUGGCUAAUUUUCUUGGCUAAUUUUCUUGUUUGUCUAUUGUUGAAUCACUGGAUGCAUGACAUAAUCGGCAGACUUCGAUUUCGCUGGUGACGCGUUGGUUUAUAGUAGAUUUGUCUGACUUCAGUUUUCCAAAAAAAAUAUUGAUCCUAAAUCUUGGGCUGCCUUGCUGUGUGCUGGAUGUGGCUGGUCGAGUGCCUUUAUAUUUGUCAUUGGCUUGGCGGAGUCUGUGUGGAGAUUUUUUCCAGAGGCGUUUGGGCUCUUGCUUUUUUUGACACAUGGCGUCUGGGCUCUUGCUGGUUAAUCCGUGUGGAGUUUUGCUUGCCUUAUUUGCAUGCACCAGUCUGUGGUUGUGUCGGACACAUUGAUGGAGACGUGCUAGAUUUUUCUUUUUGAGGUUUGAAGACGUGCUAGAUGACAGGCGUGUCAGGCAACUAUUUGUACCUCAUAAUAGUUAUAUGUAAUUUUUGUAUAUUUUUUAA
Long non-coding RNA from Triticum dicoccoides, 2263 nucleotides. RefSeq lists it as uncharacterized. The record is from RefSeq and is a predicted model, not a curated record. The transcript is spliced from 3 exons. Lineage: Eukaryota; Viridiplantae; Streptophyta; Magnoliopsida; Poales; Poaceae.